GCUUACGACCACACCGGCCUGAGUACGCCUGAUCUCGUCUGAUCUCGGAAGCUAAGCAGGGUCGGGCCUGGUUAGUACUUGGAUGGGAGACUUCCUGGGAAUACCAGGUGCUUUUGUCA
Molecule: ribosomal RNA, 119 nt
Organism: Oncorhynchus tshawytscha (Chinook salmon)
Lineage: Eukaryota; Metazoa; Chordata; Actinopteri; Salmoniformes; Salmonidae
Source: Ensembl